CCGGCACGGGUGAGUAACACGUAUGCAAUCCACCUGUAACAGGGGGAGUAACCCGGAGAAAUCCGACUAAUACCCAUAAUAUGGGCGCUCCGCAUGGAGAGUCCAUUAAAGAGAGCAAUCUUGGUUACAGACGAGCAUGCGCUCCAUUAGCCAGUUGGCGGGGUAACGGCCCACCAAGGCGACGAUGGAUAGGGGUUCUGAGAGGAAGGUCCCCCACAUUGGAACUGAGACACGGUCCAA
This 240-nucleotide ribosomal RNA is filed under the name uncultured bacterium. RNAcentral describes it as "partial 16S ribosomal RNA". It matches the Rfam family "Bacterial small subunit ribosomal RNA", at positions 100 to 334 of the family's 1533-position model. The record is from RNAcentral.